Molecule: ribosomal RNA, 252 nt
Filed under: uncultured bacterium
Lineage: Bacteria
Description: partial 16S ribosomal RNA
Rfam family: Bacterial small subunit ribosomal RNA
Source: RNAcentral
UACGUAGGUCCCGAGCGUUGUCCGGAUUUAUAGGGCGUAAAGCGAGCGCAGGUGGUUUAUUAAGUCUGGUGUAAAAGGCAGUGGCUCAACCAUUGUAUGCAUUGGAAACUGGUAGACUUGAGUGCAGGAGAGGAGAGUGGAAUUCCAUGUGUGGCGGUGAAAUGCGUAGAUAUAUGGAGGAACACCGGUGGCGAAGGCGGCUCUCUGGCCUGUAACUGACACUGAGGCUCGAAAGCAUGGGUAGCGAACAGG